AGUGAACGCUGGCGGUAUGCCUAACACAUGCAAGUCGAACGGCAACACAGUAAGCGCUCGCCCUUACGGGUGGCGAGUGGCGGACGGGUGAGGAAUACAUCGCAUUCUACUUUUUCUUGGGGGAUAACGUAGGGAAACUUACGCUAAUACCGCAUACGAUCUACGGGUUAAACCAGUGGAUCUUCAGACUUUUCGCGACCCAAUGAGCCGAUGCCGGUUUUGCUAGUUGGCUGGGUAAGGGCCCACCAAGGCGAUGAUCCGUAGCGGAUCUGAGAGGGUGAUCGGCCACACUGGAACUGAGACACGGUCCAGACUCCUACGGGAGGCGGCAGUAGGGAAUAUUGGACAAUGGGCGCGAGCCUGAUCGAGCAAUACCGCGUGGGUGAAGAAGGCCUUCGGGUUGUAAAGCCCUUUUGUUAGGAAAGAAAAGCUGCAUGAUGAAGCGCCGAUGUUCUGACGGUACCUAAAGAAAAAGCGACGGCUAACUUCGUG
RNAcentral lists this ribosomal RNA (492 nucleotides) under uncultured bacterium. RNAcentral's name for it is "partial 16S ribosomal RNA". It matches the Rfam family "Bacterial small subunit ribosomal RNA", at positions 29 to 507 of the family's 1533-position model. The record is from RNAcentral.